AGGUUAAGUUAACAAGGGCGCAUGGUGAAUGCCUUGGCACUAGGAGCCGAUGAAGGACGGGACUAACACCGAUAUGCUUCGGGGAGCUGUACGUAAGCUAUGAUCCGGAGAUUUCCGAAUGGGGCAACCCAGCAGUUUUAAUCAACUGUUACCACUAGAUGAAUUCAUAGUCUAGUUGGAGGUAAACGCUGUGAACUGAAACAUCUCAUUAGCAGCAGGAAUAUAAAGAAAUUUCGAUUCCCUAAGUAGCGGCGAGCGAACGGGGAACAGCCCAAACCAAAGUGCUUGCACUUUGGGGUUGUAGGACUGAACAUUUGAGUUACCAAAGAACUUGAUAGUCGAAGGAUUUGGGAAAAUCCGCCAUAGAUGGUGAUAGCCCAGUAGAUUAAAUCAAAUUCUCUCAGUUCAGGAUCCUGAGUACGGCGGAACACGUGAAAUUCCGUCGGAAUCCGGGAGGACCAUCUCCCAAGGCUAAAUACUACCUAGUGACCGAUAGUGAACCAGUACCGUGAGGGAAAGGUGAAAAGCACCCCGGGAGGGGAGUGAAAUAGUUCCUGAAACCAUGUGCCUACAAUAAGUCAGAGCGCGUUAAUGCGUGAUGGCGUGCCUUUUGUAGAAUGAACCGGCGAGUUAUGAUCCCGUGCAAGGUUAAGACUAAAAAGUCGGAGCCGUAGCGAAAGCGAGUCUGAAAUGGGCGAUUUGAGUACGAGGUUAUAGACCCGAAACCAGGUGACCUAUCCAUGUCCAGGUUGAAGGUGCGGUAAAACGCACUGGAGGACCGAACCCGUGUAAGUUGAAAAUUGCUGGGAUGAGGUGUGGAUAGCGGUGAAAUUCCAAACGAACUUGGAGAUAGCUGGUUCUCUCCGAAAUAGCUUUAGGGCUAGCCUCGGAUUAAGGAUCAUGGAGGUAGAGCACUAUUUGGACUAGGGGCCCGUCUUGGGUUACUGAAUUCAGAUAAACUCCGAAUGCCAUUGAUUCAUGUCCGGGAGUCAGACGAUGAGUGAUAAGAUCCACCGUCGAAAGGGGAACAGCCCAGACCAUCAGUUAAGGUCCCUAAAUGUAUGCUAAGUGGAAAAGGAUGUGGAGUUGCAUAGACAACUAGGAUGUUGGCUCAGAAGCAGCCACCAUUUAAAGAGUGCGUAAUAGCUCACUAGUCGAGUGAUCCUGCGCCGAAAAUGUACCGGGGCUAAGCAUACUACCGAAACCAUGGAUGCGACCAUUAGGUCGCGUGAUAGGAGAGCGUUCUAAGGGCGGUGAAGCAAGAUCGUGAGGACUUGUGGAGCGCUUAGAAGUGAGAAUGCCGGUAUGAGUAGCGAAAGAUAGGUGAGAAUCCUAUCCACCGAAUGACUAAGGUUUCCUGGGGAAGGCUCGUCCUCCCAGGGUUAGUCGGGACCUAAGUCGAGGCCGAGAGGCGUAGACGAUGGAUAACAGGUUGAGAUUCCUGUACUAGUUAAGUGCGUUUGAGCAAUGGAGGGACGCAGGAGGCUAAGAUGUGCAUUCUGUUGGAUUAGAAUGUCCAAGCAGUAAGUCUUGUGGAGAGUCAAAUGCUUUUCACUUUAAGGACAAGCUGUGAUGGGGAGCGAAAUUUAGUAGCGAAGCGUCUGAUGUCACACUGCCGAGAAAAGCUUCUAGUGAGUACUUAACUACCCGUACCGCAAACCGACACAGGUAGUCGAGGAGAGAAUCCUAAGGUGAGCGAGUGAACUCUCGUUAAGGAACUCGGCAAAAUGACCCCGUAACUUCGGGAGAAGGGGUGCUGAUCGCAAGAUCAGCCGCAGUGAAUAGGCCCAGGCGACUGUUUAUCAAAAACACAGGUCUCUGCAAAAUCGUAAGAUGACGUAUAGGGGCUGACGCCUGCCCGGUGCUGGAAGGUUAAAAGGAUGGGUUAGCUUCGGCGAAGCUCAGAAUUGAAGCCCCAGUAAACGGCGGCCGUAACUAUAACGGUCCUAAGGUAGCGAAAUUCCUUGUCGGGUAAGUUCCGACCCGCACGAAAGGCGUAACGAUCUGGGCACUGUCUCAACGAGAGACUCGGUGAAAUUAUAUUGUCCGUGAAGAUGCGGACUACCCGCGACAGGACGGAAAGACCCCAUGGAGCUUUACUGUAGCUUGAUAUUGAGUGUUUGUACAGCUUGUACAGGAUAGGUAGGAGCCAUAGAAACCGGAACGCUAGUUUCGGUGGAGGCGUUGGUGGGAUACUACCCUCGCUGUAUGACCACUCUAACCCGCACCACUAAUCGUGGUGGGAGACAGUGUCAGGUGGGCAGUUUGACUGGGGCGGUCGCCUCCUAAAAAGUAACGGAGGCGCCCAAAGGUUCCCUCAGAAUGGUUGGAAAUCAUUCGCAGAGUGUAAAGGCACAAGGGAGCUUGACUGCGAGACAGACAGGUCGAGCAGGGACGAAAGUCGGGCUUAGUGAUCCGGUGGUACCGUAUGGAAGGGCCAUCGCUCAACGGAUAAAAGCUACCCUGGGGAUAACAGGCUUAUCUCCCCCAAGAGUCCACAUCGACGGGGAGGUUUGGCACCUCGAUGUCGGCUCAUCGCAUCCUGGGGCUGUAGUCGGUCCCAAGGGUUGGGCUGUUCGCCCAUUAAAGCGGUACGCGAGCUGGGUUCAGAACGUCGUGAGACAGUUCGGUCCCUAUCCGUCGCGGGCGUAGGAAAUUUGAGAGGACCUGUCCUUAGUACGAGAGGACCGGGAUGGACAUACCUCUGGUGUACCAGUUGUGCCGCCAGGCGCAUCGCUGGGUAGCUACGUAUGGAUGUGAUAAACGCUGAAAGCAUCUAAGUGUGAAACACACCUCGAGAUGAGAUUUCCCAUUCCUUUAUGGAAGUAAGACCCUGAAAGAUGAUCAGGUAGAUAGGUUAGAAGUGGCAGUGCGGUGACGCAUGAAGCGGACUAAUACUAAUCGGUCGAGGACUUAACCAAG
This 2922-nucleotide ribosomal RNA is filed under the name Lactiplantibacillus pentosus. RNAcentral describes it as "bacterial LSU rRNA". It matches the Rfam family "Bacterial large subunit ribosomal RNA". The record is from RNAcentral. Lineage: Bacteria; Bacillati; Bacillota; Bacilli; Lactobacillales; Lactobacillaceae.